ACGGGUGAGUAAUGCCUAGGAAUCUGCCUGGUAGUGGGGGAUAACGUUCGGAAACGAACGCUAAUACCGCAUACGUCCUACGGGAGAAAGCAGGGGACCUUCGGGCCUUGCGCUAUCAGAUGAGCCUAGGUCGGAUUAGCUAGUUGGUGAGGUAAUGGCUCACCAAGGCGACGAUCCGUAACUGGUCUGAGAGGAUGAUCAGUCACACUGGAACUGAGACACGGUCCAGACUCCUACGGGAGGCAGCAGUGGGGAAUAUUGGACAAUGGGCGAAAGCCUGAUCCAGCCAUGCCGCGUGUGUGAAGAAGGUCUUCGGAUUGUAAAGCACUUUAAGUUGGGAGGGAGGGCCAUUACCUAAUACGUGAUGGUUUUGACGUUACCGACAGAAUAAGCACCGGCUAACUCUGUGCCAGCAGCCGCGGUAAUACAGAGGGUGCAAGCGUUAAUCGGAAUUACUGGGCGUAAAGCGCGCGUAGGUGGUUCGUUAAGUUGGAUGUGAAAUCCCCGGGCUCAACCUGGGAACUGCAUUCAAAACUGUCGAGCUAGAGUAUGGUAGAGGGUGGUGGAAUUUCCUGUGUAGCGGUG
This 585-nucleotide ribosomal RNA is filed under the name uncultured Pseudomonas sp. RNAcentral's name for it is "bacterial SSU rRNA". It matches the Rfam family "Bacterial small subunit ribosomal RNA", at positions 102 to 683 of the family's 1533-position model. The record is from RNAcentral. Lineage: Bacteria; Pseudomonadati; Pseudomonadota; Gammaproteobacteria; Pseudomonadales; Pseudomonadaceae.